Molecule: non-coding RNA, 228 nt
Filed under: Oscillospiraceae bacterium
Lineage: Bacteria; Bacillati; Bacillota; Clostridia; Eubacteriales; Oscillospiraceae
Description: 6S RNA
Rfam family: 6S / SsrS RNA
About the family: E. coli 6S RNA was the first non coding RNA to be sequenced, but its function was unknown until recently. It consists of 184 nucleotides that fold into an extended hairpin structure with a large single-stranded internal bulge.
Source: RNAcentral
UCCGCCCUGCGGUGUUCGAGUAUGAGGCGAACGAAAAACCCACAAAGAGUAAAAAGGAGCCCGGCUUCCGGCGCGGGGUUUGCAGACCUCCCUCCGCAGCCGUGAGACGCAUUCCGCGCCGCCGCAGCGUGCAGGACGCUGGGAGCACGAACCGUCGGAGAGGGCGCCGUCCUUGCGAGAGCAGGGUUUCUUCACGUUCGUUUCAGGAGACGGCACUGCGGGGCGGUU